GGCCACAGAACAGCCUCUUAAGUAGAUGGACAGGCUACUCAGCAACUAAGAGAAGAAAGCAACAACUCACCCUACCCCCCCAGACUG
Molecule: long non-coding RNA, 87 nt
Filed under: Meleagris gallopavo (turkey)
Lineage: Eukaryota; Metazoa; Chordata; Aves; Galliformes; Phasianidae
Description: lncRNA (ENSMGAG00000019465.1)
Source: RNAcentral